AAGUUUCCCUCAGGAUAGCUGGCGCUCUUGCACAAACCAUGCAGUUUUAUCCGGUAAAGCAAAUGAUUAGAGGUCUUGGGACCAAAACAAUCUCAACCUAUUCUUGAACUUUAAAUGGGUAAGAAGCCCGACUGGCUGGCGUGGAGCUGGGCGUGGAAUGCAAGUGCCUAGUGAGCCACUUUUGGUAAACAGUGGCGCUGGUAAACAGAACUGGUGCUGAGGGAUGAACCGAAUGCUGGGUUAAUGAACCCAUGGGUUCAUUGGGAUAAAUGAUGUGGCAAUUGCUCAACAAAUGUUAGCUAAAUUUCACAAAUUA
RNAcentral lists this non-coding RNA (316 nucleotides) under Bos taurus (domestic cattle). RNAcentral's name for it is "Eukaryotic large subunit ribosomal RNA". It matches the Rfam family "Eukaryotic large subunit ribosomal RNA", at positions 964 to 1347 of the family's 3401-position model. Lineage: Eukaryota; Metazoa; Chordata; Mammalia; Artiodactyla; Bovidae. RNAcentral also lists the same sequence under 3 other names. The record is from Rfam by way of RNAcentral.